Molecule: long non-coding RNA, 3486 nt
Organism: Cygnus olor (mute swan)
Lineage: Eukaryota; Metazoa; Chordata; Aves; Anseriformes; Anatidae
Exons: 3
Source: RefSeq, a predicted model, not a curated record
CCUUCCUCGCCCCCCGCCCUCCUCAGGCCCCGGGGCGCCGCAGCGGCGCUGUGGGGGCAGGGAGGCGGAGUGCGCAGGCGCGGGCUGCGGCGCCUUUCUAGCACUUUCUGGCGCGCAGCCGCCUGAGGCGGCGGGGGCCGGGCGGGCGUUGUCAUGGCAACGGCGCCUCACGCCCGGCGGCGGGAAGGAGCCGGGGGGGGCUCGCUCCGUGAGGGGGCGCCGUGGCCGCGGCCCCGUUCCGAGCCCCGCGAGCAGGCGCAGGAAGGGCCGGGCCGCGUGUUUCUCGUUCGGUGCGCAGGGUGCUGGCGCACUGCUGGACGUGAUAAAUAAAUCGAUGCAGAACCGUGGGGGUUUCCCCACGGCAGAGCUGAAAUGGCGUCUGAGGAGAGCUGCGUUAGGCGACACCUUUAUCCUGAGCUGGCUAUUUGCGGCCCAGCCCUGUCAUUAGGCAGCCAAACAUCCCAAGCCGAAUAAAUGUCUCCCUCACUUACCCUUUCUCUGUCUCAUUCUGCGGCGCUGUCGCCUUCCACCGCCCAACUUAGUUAGCACAUUCUUGCAUAGGCGGUUCAUCUGUUGGUCAGGGCUUCUACAGAGCAUACUUUGACUGUUGUUUUAGCAGAGCCUUUUUAUGAUUAUACACAUUCAUUAAGGGUGCCAGCAAGGUCUACAAGUCCUAGCAUCUCUUCUUGUUUCAUAAUGGAGCUAGAACUUGAAAGAGGCUCCUAAUUGGGUGCUCCAAACCUAGCUAGUCGCAAACUGGUGCCUUGAUGUGGGGGUGGAUUGAGGCAAAAGCAGCAGUUGACCUCGAUUCUUUCUACACAAACAGCACUCUGCGUGUGGUUCAGGUGUUCAUGUAAGACAGAGCUACAUUAUGACUUGUAUACAUAUCACGAUCUACACUUGGAUAACAAUAACCCAACUGUUUCUGUGACGGGUCAGGUGAGGAGGUGAGCAGGAGAAGAAGAGUAUCAUGAAGACUUUUGCAGGAGAUAAAAUAGCCUCUGGUAGUUGGCUUGAUGCAAGGGUGUGUGUGAAUGAUAUUUCUGGCAUGUAAACAACAUACACCCGCAGAGAUGCUGUAAGGAGCGCAGGAGCACUCGGAGCAGCCCCAGAAGCACCUGGACAGCCCCCGGAGACCCUGGAGCAUCUGGGGUAAGCUGAGAGCAGCUCCCGCAGCCCCGAGAAGCCCUGUGAGAGCCCUCUAGAUAGCCCCAGAGGUGCCCAGGCAGGACUAGGAAGACACAGAUACUGCUCAUCCUCCACAUUCAAAGCCAGAAGGUAGGAGGUUUAUGUAGUUUACUUAAAGAUAGCUGAGUAAUGCAAAGGUAUUAGGGCCCAGAUCCAUCCCACAUAAUUACAGGCAUUGAAUUGAAUUGCUCUCUCUGGGCUGCGUUCACACCAGAGCCGGUGGAAGGGGAUGGCUCAGCCCGCUCCAGCUCUGAAAAGUCCUCUGACAACACCUCUCUGUGGUCCGUAGGGGUGUUUGUAGUAGCCAAAUCCAAAAUGUCUGUAUCUCAUUUAAGUACCAAAGGCAGCAAGGAUCAGUCGACCAGAUUUGCUCAAGAUUUCAUACGCGUGUGCAAUAAUCAGUAAAGACUGCUUUUCAUCCAGGAUGUCAUGCCAUAUCUUCAGAGUAACAAAGAACAAAUGCCACCUUCUUUCUGAUUAAAAAAGAUAGAAGGGAGUUUUAUCUUGCCUGUGUUUUGCUGCUUGCAGUGUUCUGCUGUCUAGGAAAGUACAUUCAGCACAAAUUAAAUUAUUAUCAAGGCCUGCUCAGAGCAGCGUUAGCAAGCAUCUGUGCUCAUGAAGCCCUAGAAAACUCUCCCUAAAAGCGGAGCAGGGGGAGACACUGCAGGGCCAGCCGGAGGUUUGCUGGUACAAGCGCUGCUGUAUUUCAUGCAGAUACAGGGCUUUUUUUUUUUUUUUUUUAAUUCCAGCCAGAAAGCAGAGGACUGCGUAUCAGUGACAAAGAUGUGUUUCCUCACUUCAUUUGAAAUUAUGAGACUUUGUAGCCUAUGCUUCUGCCAGCUUGUGCUUGUGGUUCAGCCCUUGCUGCCUUUAGUGUUGGGGAAGCUGUUCUGUAAUGUGUAGAGUGAGAAAUGGUUGCCACCCCCAACAUCCCAAGUGGUAGCAAAAAAUGGAAAUACUCUGCUCAAUUAUGAUGUCCGAUAUCUGGCUCCUAAAUGGUAGCAGGAUCAUACCCAGCAGAGUAGUGAUAAUACCCCGUGGGGUAGCUAAAACUUUGCUCCUGUGAUUGAGACUUCAGAGGUUUCCCUGGGAGAUUCAGCUACCUAAAGAUCUAUGGAUCGGGAGGCAUUUCAAAUUAUACAUGCAAAAUUUAUUUUUGCUAUUUCUAUUCCAGUCAGUCAGUACUUCUGUUCCUAGCUACAUGCAGAUCCACAGGAAAUGACAAUGCCAUUUUAAAUACUUUUGCAUUUUUUAAAUUAAAGUAAAAUGCCCUUAUUUCUAAGCUCUCUGUGAGGAGGAACACAGCCAAGCUGCCAGGAGUCUCUAUGGAGAGCUGCUGGAGCUGCAGACCAUCUUAGCCCUGUGACUUCGAGUGCUGUGGCAGCCCAGCAGCCUAAUUUGUGUUACCAGAAGGUGAGCUGGCAAGUAGCGAGGCACAUUUCUGCCAGAACCUUGUCUCACAUAAAGCAUUCCUUCAAAGGCAAACCAUCUGCACAAAACUGACAAUUCAGCAAGGUCUGGGAGAAAAAAAAAUUGCAAAUUCUAUGGCCCUGCAUGAACAAAAUGAUAGAGCAUGUUUCUAAAUGUCGUCCGUUUAGUGGACAGUCUGCAGAGAGGAGCUGCUGUGGAUUCCCAGGGCAGGGAAGCAGGGGCAGUUGGAAAGCAAUCGGAUAGCACAGAAGGGAACAGCUAGAGCAAGCUGGGGAGAAACAUGUCUCCUACAUCGUUUCUUCCAUUGAAAACAUCUGCUUUAAAUGGUAUUUGAUUUCUUUGGAAGCUCUCCUCAAACGUUGCUGCAAGUGACAAGAAAGGAAGCCUUACCUCAUUUAGAUGCUUCUGAAUUUCCCAUCUGUAAGUUUGCUGUAUGAAUUAAUGGCUGUAACAGGGACAAUAGAAAACAUUAGGGGCUGCUAUUACCAGGCCAGCGUCCCUGGGUUUAAUCCAGAAGAAGACAUGUUAGUGAAGUUAAAAAAAUUAUUGCUCUCGAGAGAUUCUACCUCAGAUGGAUCUUCCAGGGAAGCAGCUAUUAAAGAGAACCUCCACACUGCAACGAGCCUUUCAUCUGUGUCCACAUCAGCAGUCUCCUCGUCAUGUUUCCAGACAAGCCUGCUUGCUAAUUUAUUUGAUUUGUGGUGGGACCAGCGACUGGCUGCAUUGGAGGUUUCCUGAGGCUUAAGGCGCUGUCCUGCCAGCCUCCCUCUUGUGACUGAUCCCCGUCAUUACAACUGAGGUGAACAAGAGCUUAUGCUAUCAGUUUAUCUUUCUAAGAUCAUCCUAUUGCAAGAAGACUCUUUAAUA